Molecule: long non-coding RNA, 109 nt
Organism: Notothenia coriiceps (black rockcod)
Lineage: Eukaryota; Metazoa; Chordata; Actinopteri; Perciformes; Nototheniidae
Exons: 3
Source: RefSeq, a predicted model, not a curated record
UCUCAUUGUCUGGUGUCAAUUUCUGACAACGUGAUUCUUUCAGAUGCGUCACGUGGUGUGCUAAAACACUUCCUGGUUAGCUUUCUGCUAGAAAUUUAAAUCUCAAAAU